This is a non-coding RNA of Hemiscyllium ocellatum (epaulette shark), 348 nucleotides long. Lineage: Eukaryota; Metazoa; Chordata; Chondrichthyes; Orectolobiformes; Hemiscylliidae. The record is from the annotation of a RefSeq genome assembly.
AUGGGCAACGAAUCAAAUUGGUUGACGACUGACAUCUAUGGUUCUGUGGGCAUCAUGACGAAGUCGGAGGUUAUUUUGACUCAGCCAGAGGCAAAGACUGGCCGUCCCGGAGGCAGCCUGAAACUAACCUGUAAAACCAGCGGGUUCGAUCUUGGCAGCUACUGCAUGAGCUGGGUCCAACAGGUUCCCGGACAGGGCCUGGAGUGGCUGGUUAGCAACUAUAUUGCAUCUAGCAAUUACUAUGCCUCGGCGAUUAAGGGUCGGCUUACUGCAUCCAAGUGCACUUCAAACAACAUCUUCGCGUUAGACAUGAGUAACCUGAAGAUCGAAGACCCCGCCAUCAAUUAA